UGGGGAAUAUUGGACAAUGGGCGAAAGCCUGAUCCAGCCAUGCCGCGUGAGUGAUGAAGGCCUUAGGGUUGUAAAGCUCUUUCGCCCACGACGAUAAUGACGGUAGUGGGAGAAGAAGCCCCGGCUAACUUCGUGCCAGCAGCCGCGGUAAUACGAAGGGGGCUAGCGUUGUUCGGAAUUACUGGGCGUAAAGCGCGUGUAGGCGGGUCCUUAAGUCAGGGGUGAAAUGCCAAGGCUCAACCUUGGAACUGCCUUUGAUACUGGGGAUCUUGAGUCCGGGAGAGGUGAGUGGAACUGCGAGUGUAGAGGUGAAAUUCGUAGAUAUUCGCAAGAACACCAGUGGCGAAGGCGGCUCACUGGCCCGGAACUGACGCUGAGACGCGAAAGCGUGGGGAGCAAACA
Molecule: ribosomal RNA, 402 nt
Filed under: uncultured Hyphomicrobiales bacterium
Lineage: Bacteria; Pseudomonadati; Pseudomonadota; Alphaproteobacteria; Hyphomicrobiales
Description: uncultured Rhizobiales bacterium partial 16S ribosomal RNA
Rfam family: Bacterial small subunit ribosomal RNA
Source: RNAcentral